GCAUUGAUGGUUCAGUGGUAACUUUCUUGCCUUCCAUGCAGGAGACCUGGGUUGGAUUCCCAGCUAAUGCA
RNAcentral lists this transfer RNA (71 nucleotides) under Loxodonta africana (African savanna elephant). It matches the Rfam family "tRNA". Rfam says of the family: Transfer RNA (tRNA) molecules are approximately 80 nucleotides in length. Their secondary structure includes four short double-helical elements and three loops (D, anti-codon, and T loops). Lineage: Eukaryota; Metazoa; Chordata; Mammalia; Proboscidea; Elephantidae. The record is from Rfam by way of RNAcentral.